RNAcentral lists this ribosomal RNA (658 nucleotides) under uncultured Desulfosporosinus sp. RNAcentral's name for it is "bacterial SSU rRNA". It matches the Rfam family "Bacterial small subunit ribosomal RNA", at positions 9 to 635 of the family's 1533-position model. The record is from RNAcentral. Lineage: Bacteria; Bacillati; Bacillota; Clostridia; Eubacteriales; Desulfitobacteriaceae.
GAGUUUGAUCCUGGCUCAGGACGAACGCUGGCGGCGUGCCUAACACAUGCAAGUCGAACGGAGAAUUUCAAUAAGCUUGCUUAGAGAGAUUUUUAGUGGCGGACGGGUGAGUAACGCGUGGGUAACCUACCCAUAAAACCGGGACAACCCUUGGAAACGAGGGCUAAUACCGAAUAAUCUUAAGAGAUGGCAUCAUUUUUUAAGGAAAGGUGGCCUCUGAAUAUGCUACCGAUUAUGGAUGGACCCGCGUCUGAUUAGCUAGUUGGUGGGGUAAAGGCCUACCAAGGCGACGAUCAGUAGCCGGCCUGAGAGGGUGAACGGCCACACUGGGACUGAGACACGGCCCAGACUCCUACGGGAGGCAGCAGUGGGGAAUCUUCCGCAAUGGACGAAAGUCUGACGGAGCAACGCCGCGUGUAUGAUGAAGGUCUUCGGAUUGUAAAGUACUGUCUUUGGGGAAGAAUGGUGUGCUUGAAAAUAUUGAGUACAUAUGACGGUACCCAAGGAGGAAGCCCCGGCUAACUACGUGCCAGCAGCCGCGGUAAUACGUAUGGGGCAAGCGUUGUCCGGAAUUAUUGGGCGUAAAGGGCGCGUAGGCGGAUAGUUAAGUCCCGGUGUGAAAGAUCAGGGCUCACCCCUGAGAGUGCAUCGGAAACUG